Molecule: ribosomal RNA, 429 nt
Filed under: Acidobacteriota bacterium
Lineage: Bacteria; Pseudomonadati; Acidobacteriota
Description: Acidobacteria bacterium partial 16S ribosomal RNA
Rfam family: Bacterial small subunit ribosomal RNA
Source: RNAcentral
UGGGGAAUUUUGGACAAUGGGCGAAAGCCUGAUCCAGCAAUGCCGCGUGUGUGAAGAAGGCCUUCGGGUUGUAAAGCACUUUUGUCCGGAAAGAAAUGGCUCUGGUUAAUACCUGGGGUCGAUGACGGUACCGGAAGAAUAAGGACCGGCUAACUACGUGCCAGCAGCCGCGGUAAUACGUAGGGUCCAAGCGUUAUUCGGAAUUACUGGGCGUAAAGCGUGCGCAGGCGGUUGUGCAAGACCGAUGUGAAAUCCCCGAGCUUAACUUGGGAAUUGCAUUGGUGACUGCACGGCUAGAGUGUGUCAGAGGGGGGUAGAAUUCCACGUGUAGCAGUGAAAUGCGUAGAGAUGUGGAGGAAUACCGAUGGCGAAGGCAGCCCCCUGGGAUAACACUGACGCUCAUGCACGAAAGCGUGGGGAGCAAACAGG